RNAcentral lists this ribosomal RNA (631 nucleotides) under Salmonella enterica. RNAcentral describes it as "partial 23S ribosomal RNA". It matches the Rfam family "Bacterial large subunit ribosomal RNA", at positions 2172 to 2802 of the family's 2925-position model. The record is from RNAcentral. RNAcentral also lists the same sequence under 2 other names. Lineage: Bacteria; Pseudomonadati; Pseudomonadota; Gammaproteobacteria; Enterobacterales; Enterobacteriaceae.
CAGUCUGCAUGGAGCCGACCUUGAAAUACCACCCUUUAAUGUUUGAUGUUCUAACGUGGACCCGUUACCCGGGUUGCGGACAGUGUCUGGUGGGUAGUUUGACUGGGGCGGUCUCCUCCUAAAGAGUAACGGAGGAGCACGAAGGUUGGCUAAUCCUGGUCGGACAUCAGGAGGUUAGUGCAAUGGCAUAAGCCAGCUUGACUGCGAGCGUGACGGCGCGAGCAGGUGCGAAAGCAGGUCAUAGUGAUCCGGUGGUUCUGAAUGGAAGGGCCAUCGCUCAACGGAUAAAAGGUACUCCGGGGAUAACAGGCUGAUACCGCCCAAGAGUUCAUAUCGACGGCGGUGUUUGGCACCUCGAUGUCGGCUCAUCACAUCCUGGGGCUGAAGUAGGUCCCAAGGGUAUGGCUGUUCGCCAUUUAAAGUGGUACGCGAGCUGGGUUUAGAACGUCGUGAGACAGUUCGGUCCCUAUCUGCCGUGGGCGCUGGAGAACUGAGGGGGGCUGCUCCUAGUACGAGAGGACCGGAGUGGACGCAUCACUGGUGUUCGGGUUGUCAUGCCAAUGGCACUGCCCGGUAGCUAAAUGCGGAAGAGAUAAGUGCUGAAAGCAUCUAAGCACGAAACUUGCCCCGA